Long non-coding RNA from Pseudophryne corroboree (corroboree frog), 1164 nucleotides. RefSeq lists it as uncharacterized. The record is from RefSeq and is a predicted model, not a curated record. The transcript has 2 exons. NCBI's taxonomy places the organism in Eukaryota, Metazoa, Chordata, Amphibia, Anura, Myobatrachidae.
CGAGACAGAUCGGUGCACAAGAUAGACAGCAGAGUCUCAUCGCUCCUUCAUUCCCACCUCACUAGCAGCAUGCCAGCUGGGAUGUUCAGGGUUCUACUGGUGUCGUCCACACGAUCUCCUCAGUGGAAACUUGCUCCUCAGACAACAUUCAGGAAAUACUACAGCAAGCCCCCCAAAGGCAAAGUUGGACCGUUUGAAACCAUUAUUGGACUUUCUGUUUUUUCCCUUGGUAUCCUCACACCAGCAGGAUGGAUCCUCGUACACCUCCCUGAACCACCAAAACACUAAAAGGACAUUGUCUCCACCGUGACAUCAAGAUGACCUCAUAAUAAGACGGGAGAAAUUUAUUCUGAAAAAUCUAGAGACUAACUAAUUUUAUUUACAACUUUGUUGAUGUUCUUGUAGCCUUAGACACGUGGCAAGUGUGUUAGGGGCCCAUUUAUCAUUCCUCGCAUAUUCAAUGCAAUCUGGGUGUGAUAUUAUCGGGGAAUGUAUUAAGAGCACCCACAGCGACAGGGGAACCAAAAGGACUCCAUCCCUGUGAUGCGCUCAAUGAGUUGCCGCACAUGCACUGUAUUCACUACUGGGGAGGGUUCUGGGGGAACCCUCUGCUGGCUAGCAAAGCAGUGAGUAGUCCAUAGGCUACAAUGGGCUAUUGACAUCUUCAGGUGGGGGUCAAUCUCCAAAAUGUAUCGCAUUCCGGAAAUGGACAAAUCUGGCAGCAUCUUAUUCCCUGUAGAAACCUAUGGAGGAUGCAGCUGCCAGCGAGAAUGGGGGGCUUGCAACAGGUGUUGGAGAUAUCUGCUGCGGUCCCUCCUACAUACAUUCGGGGGAUACUUAAUAUUUGCGGCUAACCCCUGUAAAACAGGUGUUUUGGGGGAAAUAGCCACAAAUAUUGUUUCAUGAAUGGGCCCCUUAGUCAUAUGAGUAUACCGUGUUUAAUACAACAUUAAGGGCAUUUAAGGAAAGAAUGUUAGUCAAUUGGGUUACCACUGUAUGGUGAUCAUGAGCUUCAUUCAGUUUAACGUUUCCAUUUUUCUCAUUUACAUAUGAAAUCAAUCAUACUUGUUUCACUGGGAAGUCCAAGUCCUCUCUGCUUAUGUACCUAGACUUCUAGAUGCAGAUUCAAAUAAAGAGUGGAAAAAAAGUCAAAAGAAACAAAAA